UCGAAAGCCUAUCUCAGUUCGGAUUGGAGGCUGAAACUCGCCUCCAUGAAGUUGGAUUCGCUAGUAAUCGCGCAUCAGCCAUGGCGCGGUGAAUACGUUCCCGGGCCUUGUACACACCGCCCGUCAAGCCAUGGGAGUUGGGGGUGCCUGAAGUUCGUGACCGCAAGGAGCGACCUAGGGCAAAACUAAUGACUGGGGCUAAGUCGUAACAAGGUAAC
RNAcentral lists this ribosomal RNA (218 nucleotides) under uncultured bacterium. Its description in RNAcentral is "partial 16S ribosomal RNA". It matches the Rfam family "Bacterial small subunit ribosomal RNA", at positions 1275 to 1500 of the family's 1533-position model. The record is from RNAcentral.